GUUACAAUGCAUAAAGUAAGCAACGUGGUGUUUUUCCGUGGAAUAUAAACACACACAUACUGAUACGAAGAUAAGAGGCCAGUUGUAUUUAUCACGUGUGACAGAACAUUAUGAAAGAAAAUAAGUGGAUAAUAAGAGUACGCGUUCUAAAACAUAUGGUAACGUAAUGGAGAAACCAAUUUUCGAACAUUGCUAUUCUAUAUGAUACAAUAGUAUAUAUCACAAUAUAAAGGCCAAAUAGCAUGGAAAGUGUAAAACCUCAGUAAACCACAUAGAGGAAUAUAUGCUACAUCCUAUUAAUUAAUCACUAAACCUUACACGGAAAUAUGACUCCUAAUCUAAUGUGAACCCCAAUCUUCAAAUGGAAAAUCCAAUAUGCCAGAAACUAACCUCGUUCCAAUCAUCAUUAAACCCUACACGAAAAUAUAAAUCCUAACCCAAUUAUGAAACUAAAACUUUUCCAUAUUAAUUCACUCUCUACCAAAUCUUCAAAUUCAAAUGGAGAACCCAAUAUGCCAUAAACUAACCCCUCCCCAAUAAUCACUAUACCCUACACGGAAAUAUAAACCCUCAUCCUAUGUCACCUCACAUCUUUAAUAAACUAAACCUAUCAACUAAUCACUAAACCCUACAUGGAAAUAUAAACUCUAAUCCAAUGUCAACCAUAAUCUUCCAUAAAAUAAACCCAAAUUUCAAAAUGCCAGUAAAAUGAAUACCAUUUUACAUGAGGCAUAUAUAAUAGAAAAUGUGAAAAUGUAGUUGUAUUCUAAAGAUUAUCUUAACAUAUUUCUCACAUGUUGAUAUGACUAUGCCUUCAUGGAAGGUGAUAAUGCUUGCCCAAUAUCAACUCAAUCGUACAUAAACUAAACCCUAUCAACUAAUCACUAAACCCUACAAGAAAAUAUAAACUCUAAUCCAAUGUCAACCCCAAUCUUCCUUAAACUAAAACUAAAACCAAACCAGUAAUCACUAAACCCCACAUGGAAAUAUAAAC
This 994-nucleotide long non-coding RNA is filed under the name Brassica napus (rape). RNAcentral describes it as "long non-coding RNA (BNAP_LNC014938)". Lineage: Eukaryota; Viridiplantae; Streptophyta; Magnoliopsida; Brassicales; Brassicaceae. The record is from RNAcentral.